Long non-coding RNA from Glycine soja, 2309 nucleotides. RefSeq lists it as uncharacterized. The transcript has 3 exons. The record is from RefSeq and is a predicted model, not a curated record. NCBI's taxonomy places the organism in Eukaryota, Viridiplantae, Streptophyta, Magnoliopsida, Fabales, Fabaceae.
AAGUGGAAUAAAAUACGAAGCCGCAGCAGAAAGCAAAGAAAACGACGCAGUUUAAUUUGGUAUUUAGCGAAGGCAACGAAGAAGAAAACGAUGUUGGCGGAGAGCGAUCACUACAGGGUGGAGUUCAGAGCGUGCAAGGACGACGCGUGGUACACGGCGCGCGUUUCGCUGGAGGGAGAAACUCUGACAGUGAAGUACUUGAACCUCCCUGACGAAUACGACAACGCGUUUCGAGCCUCCGAGUUUGGGGAACGCUUCAGACCCCUCUCCAAACAGGUUCAGGACAGCGAGUGUCGUUCACUCCCGUACCUCUCUUGUUGUCGUUUACUUGCGUCAUUAAAUAAAUAGAUUGGCAACACGCGUAAUUUGGAAGUAUGAACUUGUUUUCUUAUCACCCAAAAGGAAACAUUUUUCUUCUUCUUUUGAUUGUGUAGUGUAGCUUUUAUUAGGAAGUAGGGACCAUCUUGCUAUAGCACUAUAGCAGUCAAAAUCACAUGUCAACAUUUAGGAUCAUAUGAUUUUGUUUACUAGACUUGUACAAUUGAGUCAUAUUCUAAAUGAUUGGCUACAAGUAGGACUGUGUCAAGUAAAUUUGACAUUGUCCCAUUGCCAUGGUAAAUUGUUGGAGUUACAACUCAGAAUGUGGUUAACAAAAUGGCCUCUUGGCCUAUUGAUUUUAUGGAUGGGCUGAGUUGUGACACAAUUUGAAUGGACUGAUGGGUGUCUGGCUUGAAAUGAAAAAUAUGGUCCAUCUAGACCUGGCAACUUGUGUUUUAUGCAUUUAGGUUGAUUGUGUAUUUGAUUUUCUUCUCUGAUCUGUUCAGUUUCUUUUACGAAGAUUUGCUUUGCUCUUUAUUUUUGCUUGAUCUCUGGUCUUUGACAAAGUCGUUGCUCUAAUUCUACUGAUGAAUUUCUUCAUAAUUGAUGUUCUAUGGAACAUUGAUUCUUUUUUUCCUUUGGUCAUUUUACUUCUGCAGUGAUCUAUUGCUAUGGCCAUGAAUUAAGAACAAUAUGACAUUCCUAUUUUUGUUGUAACCUAUCUCUUCCUACUUAUAAUGCCAUAGCUAUUUUUUUUAGUUACAAAUAUUUUCAUGUGAAUCCUUAUGUAUUACUUCUUUUAUGAUAUAAUUCUUAUUGUAGUUGAGCUAUUACUAUCCUCCUUUAAGUUUUAUGGUCAAACGACUCAAAUCCUUGGGAGCCCUUGUUUGAUCCUAUGUAAAAUUGCUUAUCUGACAAACUUGUUUUUUGUUUUUUUCUCUACCCUUAUGCAUGUUCGUACAUUGGCCUAUAUGCUUUACACCCAUAUAUCAUUUUUAUCACCCUUUGCUUUUAUUUAGUGUGGUUGUUCUUUAUAUUAUUUAUGACGUUCUAUAAUAUAAUUCUUCAAACUUUUUCCUCAGAUUUUCAUUUGGUUUUUGUUUUCUUCGUUCAUUUGGUUUGUAGUUAGUUGUCAUGACAUGGAAGAUAGGGUUCUUGAAGUAACAAAAACCAAUGUGUGUAUGAUAUUGAUUGCAAAUAUUGACAGAGUUUUAUGUCCAUCAGCAAUUACAGAGAUCUUACAUAGACAUACUUCAGUAUCAGCUAGUGUCUUCAUUUUUCUGAAUUUGUCAUUGGAGGUAUAUACUUGGGGAGCCAUUGUGUUGGAUUCUGAAAAAGAGUUCCAAGAGCUGUGUGACUUUUUGAAUAAUCCCAACUGCAUCGUAACAUCUUCAACUGGCCAUGGGUGAUACUUGAAAAGCCAGUGGGGCUCAAAAACAUUAAAGCAUCAAUAGGAAGAUUGGUGCAUGUUACAAAGAAUAUAUUACAAAAGGGAAAGAGUGGAACGAGCAACAAUUUGAAGGUUGUACACUCAAGAACUCAAGAAUUCAAGAUAGCUAGUGACAUGAGAGAUUUGUUUUUGGAAUUUUUUAAUCACCAAGAGCGGCUACACAAGAGGCUUGCACUUGAGGAGAGAAGGGUAUGUAGCUGAUGAACAACUUGCUUAAUUGUGCUGAUAUUGUAAUUUGUAAAUAUAACUACUAAAAUAGAAGUCUGUUAGGUAUCAUUCAAACUUGUCCCCAUAGAGCUUAGUAGGAGCUAUGUGCGACAAGAAAUCAUCAAUUUUGGUACAUACUGCAAAAGAGACAAACUCGUUGCUGUUGUUCCAUAUGUGAAGAUGAAAAUUAUAUCUAGGCUUCUUGAUCUUGUCAAAAAUCACUGUAUAUUGAUUACUGAGAUGGUAAUUCACACAUCUAUGCCCUUGAUCAAGAUUGUUGCAUUGUAUUCAACUGGAUCAACAUAAUUGAUAUUGAUAUUAAAUGGUUUCAUAA